This 1009-nucleotide long non-coding RNA is filed under the name Physcomitrium patens. Its description in RNAcentral is "long non-coding RNA (PPAT_LNC005679)". Lineage: Eukaryota; Viridiplantae; Streptophyta; Bryopsida; Funariales; Funariaceae. The record is from RNAcentral.
GAGUUUGGCUAAAAAAUCCUUAGGAUAGGAUAGAUUGAUACCCAAGGGUUGUUUGUUUGUGAGACAGGGUCAAAAUCAGACCUUUAGCAACUAAAAUAAUGGCCUAGGGCAAAAUAGGAUUUCAUUCAAAGAUCGGAGAUUAGGGUUUGAUAGCUAGCUUGAAGUUCUUUCCAAAGAAAUAAGAUUUGUUUUGAGAGGGUUUUGGAAGACUUAACAAUUGUUGUUCAUAACCAAGAUUUGUAUUAGUGAUUUGGAUUUUAUAUAAUAUAAUUAGGGCUAGAAAUUUUGUCUAAACCGUGCAAUUAACAAGACAUCUACGGUUGAAAAUUUGAUAUUGUUUGGAUUAUUAGGUGUGCUAAGUUUAUACAAAAUUUUGUGAUAAUCUAACGGCGUGGUUUAAAGAUAUCUAGUUUUUAGCACAAGAGGAUUUCAGAAGGUGGCAGUUUGAGGUUGGGUAGGGUUUCUAUGAUAUCUAAAGAUCUAUUUGUUGGAUUAAGGUAAAAAUUGGCAUGGUAUUGGAGGACUUAAAGAUCAAGCUACACAUCAAUUUUGAGACAAAGUUAAUGGUUGGAGAAGGAGAAAUCAUUGCUGGGAUUUUUGCUUCACUUUUCAAGUUGGAGGCUAAGUGACAUUGGUGCAAUUUUUGGAGGUUUUCUCAUAAUCUAUAAGUUGGAUUGGGCUAAAAAUUCUUAAACAUUUAGAAGACUUGCACUGAAAAUUUCAAGAAAAAUUCCAUAUCAAGUGGAUGGUCGGAUUGGAUGUUACAGCUUGUUAAAGCUCACUGAUUAAGAGUAGAGGUUACAAGAAAAAUCUAAAUUGCUUAAAUAUGAAAGUAACAAGGUAAUUGGGAUUUAUGCAUGGUUAAGACUAAUAGGAAGAGUGUUUUAAGCACUUUUGAAUUUAAAUUCAGAUUAUAUUCUUCUUGUAUGGACAAAACCUAUUAGAGUUUCUUGGCUACUUGUGAAAUAUAAUCUCACUUUCCAUAGCUAAGUGCCCAAUGCAUUCUUGA